Molecule: non-coding RNA, 196 nt
Organism: Helianthus annuus (common sunflower)
Lineage: Eukaryota; Viridiplantae; Streptophyta; Magnoliopsida; Asterales; Asteraceae
Source: Rfam
AUACCUUUCUCGGCCUUUUGGCUAAGAUCAAGUGUAGUAUCUGUUCUUAUCAGUUUAAUAUCUGAUAUGUGGGUCAUCGGCCCACUUGAUAUUAAUCUUAUUUUUUAUGGGGGAAGACCCAUCACAAUAGCUUGCUAUUGGGGUCUUUGAGUGUCGCCUUGGUCUUGCACUGCUACCUUGGCCUGGCGCACCCCUC